GCAUUCGUGGUGUAGUGGUCAGCACGCUCGGCGCGUAUUCGAGAGGUCCGUGGUUCGAGUCCGGGCAAGAGCA
RNAcentral lists this transfer RNA (73 nucleotides) under Stegodyphus mimosarum. It matches the Rfam family "tRNA". Rfam says of the family: Transfer RNA (tRNA) molecules are approximately 80 nucleotides in length. The record is from Rfam by way of RNAcentral. Lineage: Eukaryota; Metazoa; Arthropoda; Arachnida; Araneae; Eresidae.